Molecule: transfer RNA, 89 nt
Filed under: Gallionella capsiferriformans ES-2
Lineage: Bacteria; Pseudomonadati; Pseudomonadota; Betaproteobacteria; Nitrosomonadales; Gallionellaceae
Also listed under: 3 other names
Description: tRNA-Leu (TAA) (tRNA-Leu-TAA-1-1)
Rfam family: tRNA
About the family: Transfer RNA (tRNA) molecules are approximately 80 nucleotides in length. Their secondary structure includes four short double-helical elements and three loops (D, anti-codon, and T loops).
Source: RNAcentral
GCCCGGGUGGUGAAAUUGGUAGACACAACGGACUUAAAAUCCGUCGCCUUGAAAAGGGCGUACCGGUUCGAUUCCGGUUCUGGGCACCA